GGAAACGGCCCGGAGACGUUUCCUGGCCGGCCGUGUCCUUACGUUCCGGCGAGGAAACGUUACCUGAACUGGGAAGCGCGGGCUCCUCCCGUUUCCGCGCAUCUUAGAUCACCAGCUCCAUCAAGCCAAAUUCGUUUUCACAAAGUGAAAGACAGAAGCAAAGAUGAUGGUAGCCAGGACAAGGGUUAAAUUAACUACUAGUAGUAGGUUUCAAAAGUUUAAAGAACCUAGACACUAAUAUCAGUAAAUUGUGGAUCCUUAUGCGCUGUUUCUGUUCUUUUUUUAUUCGGCUUUCUUUUCUACAUAAAUUUUUGAAACAUGUAAACAAAAUUAGGUCGUAUGAGAUACUAAGCCAUACACACUGAAAAUGAAAUAUAGGAGAUGAAAAAAAACAAAAUAAAAUAAAUGGUGCGUAGUAAUUCAGAUGCACCCUUUCGUUUGCUUUGAAGAAUAUCAUGUAAACCCUUGCACAAGCUAAAUUCAAGAUGAUCCAAAGUAAUAAAUCGUGCCGUUUGAGGAAACAAAUUGCGCACUUCCUUACCAAAAAUUUGUUAUUAGUUGUUGGUUGAGAUACAGAGAGUAUAAAAUCAGUUUCUUUCAUAAAUUUCUUAAUAUAAGCCAUUCUAUCACCUUCGAGACCCUAUAAAAAUAUUUAUACUAGCAAAUGACGAGAAAAAAAAAUUGUCAUGAUUGUAGAUAUAUCAAACAUUCACUUUCCUGCUUUUUUGGUUGAUUAUUUUGUUUAUGCUUUGUUUGGAUUGAGGGA
Molecule: unclassified non-coding RNA, 766 nt
Filed under: Hevea brasiliensis (rubber tree)
Lineage: Eukaryota; Viridiplantae; Streptophyta; Magnoliopsida; Malpighiales; Euphorbiaceae
Source: RNAcentral